Molecule: small nucleolar RNA, 137 nt
Filed under: Bombyx mori (domestic silkworm)
Lineage: Eukaryota; Metazoa; Arthropoda; Insecta; Lepidoptera; Bombycidae
Description: Bm_49
Source: RNAcentral
AUAGCCACAUUCUCUGGGCAAGAGUAGUCUACAUAAAAGUAGUCUGUCUCUAAUCGGAUGUGGCUACAUAAAAUUCCCUACAUUAAUCCCAAAUGAUCUAACAUUAAUCAUUUGAUUCAAGUAUGGGAAACAUUAUU